GAUGAACGCUGGCGGCGUGCCUAAUACAUGCAAGUCGAGCGAACGGACGAGAAGCUUGCUUCUCUGAUGUUUGCGGCGGACGGGUGAGUAACACGUGGAUAACCUACCUAUAAGACUGGGAUAAAUUCGGGAAACCGGAGCUAAUACCGGAUGAUAUUUUGAACCGCAUGGUUCAAAAGUGAAAGACGGUCUUGCUGUCACUUAUAGAUGGAUCCGCGCUGCAUUAGCUAGUUGGUAAGGUAACGGCUUACCAAGGCAACGAUGCAUAGCCGACCUGAGAGGGUGAUCGGCCACACUGGAACUGAGACACGGUCCAGACUCCUACGGGAGGCAGCAGUAGGGAAUCUUCCGCAAUGGGCGAAAGCCUGACGGAGCAACGCCGCGUGAGUGAUGAAGGUCUUCGGAUCGUAAAACUCUGUUAUUAGGGAAGAACAUAUGUGUAAGUAACUGUGCACAUCUUGACGGUACCUAAUCAGAAAGCCACGGCUAACUACGUG
Molecule: ribosomal RNA, 497 nt
Filed under: uncultured bacterium
Lineage: Bacteria
Description: partial 16S ribosomal RNA
Rfam family: Bacterial small subunit ribosomal RNA
Source: RNAcentral